UAUCCUCUUAGGUAGAACUGGGUUCAC
Molecule: non-coding RNA, 27 nt
Filed under: Mus musculus (house mouse)
Lineage: Eukaryota; Metazoa; Chordata; Mammalia; Rodentia; Muridae
Source: RNAcentral